This 192-nucleotide ribosomal RNA is filed under the name uncultured Helicobacter sp. RNAcentral describes it as "partial 23S ribosomal RNA". It matches the Rfam family "Bacterial large subunit ribosomal RNA", at positions 1887 to 2076 of the family's 2925-position model. The record is from RNAcentral. Lineage: Bacteria; Pseudomonadati; Campylobacterota; Epsilonproteobacteria; Campylobacterales; Helicobacteraceae.
GCGUCAGUCGCAAGAUGAAGCGUUGAAUUGAAGCCCGAGUAAACGGCGGCCGUAACUAUAACGGUCCUAAGGUAGCGAAAUUCCUUGUCGGUUAAAUACCGACCUGCAUGAAUGGCGUAACGAGAUGGGAGCUGUCUCAACCAGAGAUUCAGUGAAAUUGUAGUGGAGGUGAAAAUUCCUCCUACCCGCGGC